RNAcentral lists this small nucleolar RNA (109 nucleotides) under Helianthus annuus (common sunflower). RNAcentral describes it as "Plant small nucleolar RNA R71". It matches the Rfam family "Plant small nucleolar RNA R71". Rfam says of the family: R71 is a member of the C/D box family of snoRNAs containing the C (UGAUGA) and D (CUGA) box motifs. Multiple nearly identical copies of this snoRNA have been identified in Arabidopsis, and it is thought to function as a 2'-O-ribose methylation guide for 18S ribosomal RNA. Lineage: Eukaryota; Viridiplantae; Streptophyta; Magnoliopsida; Asterales; Asteraceae. The record is from RNAcentral.
AAUCCGUGAUGAGGACACUUGAGUAACAACUCCUUGAAUCGCUCCCAUGUCUCAUAGAAAGACUCUCCCUCCUUUUGGUGAAACUCUUGAAUCAUGCUCCUCAGAGAGC